This 93-nucleotide transfer RNA is filed under the name Holosporales bacterium. RNAcentral describes it as "tRNA-Ser". It matches the Rfam family "tRNA". Rfam says of the family: Transfer RNA (tRNA) molecules are approximately 80 nucleotides in length. Their secondary structure includes four short double-helical elements and three loops (D, anti-codon, and T loops). The record is from RNAcentral. Lineage: Bacteria; Pseudomonadati; Pseudomonadota; Alphaproteobacteria; Holosporales.
GGAGGGGUGGCCGAGUGGCUGAAGGCGGCGGUUUGCUAAACCGUUAUACGGGUAAUACCUGUAUCGUGGGUUCGAAUCCCAUCUCCUCCGCCA